UACGGGGGGAGCAAGCGUUGUUCGGAUUUACUGGGCGUAAAGGGCGCGUAGGCGGUCAGCACAAGUCAGUUGUGAAAUCUCCGGGCUUAACCCGGAAAGGUCAACCGAUACUGCGGGGCUAGAGUGCAGAAGGGGCAACUGGAAUUCUCGGUGUAGCGGUGAAAUGCGUAGAUAUCGAGAGGAACACCUGCGGCGAAGGCGGGUUGCUGGGCUGACACUGACGCUGAUGCGCGAAAGCUAGGGGAGCGAACGGG
RNAcentral lists this ribosomal RNA (254 nucleotides) under uncultured bacterium. RNAcentral describes it as "partial 16S ribosomal RNA". It matches the Rfam family "Bacterial small subunit ribosomal RNA", at positions 524 to 776 of the family's 1533-position model. The record is from RNAcentral.